Molecule: ribosomal RNA, 433 nt
Filed under: uncultured bacterium
Lineage: Bacteria
Description: partial 16S ribosomal RNA
Rfam family: Bacterial small subunit ribosomal RNA
Source: RNAcentral
AACGAACGCUGGCGGCAUGCCUAACACAUGCAAGUCGAACGAGCCCUUCGGGUCUAGUGGCGCACGGGUGCGUAACGCGUGUGAACCUGCCCUUAGGUUCGGAAUAACUCCCCGAAAUGGGUGCUAAUACCGGAUAAUGUCUUCGGACCAAAGAUUUAUCGCCUUUGGAUGGGCCCGCGUUGGAUUAGCUAGUUGGUAGGGUAAAAGCCUACCAAGGCGACGAUCCAUAGCUGGUCUGAGAGGAUGAUCAGCCACACUGGGACUGAGACACGGCCCAGACUCCUACGGGAGGCAGCAGUGGGGAAUAUUGGAAAAUGGGCGAAAGCCUGAUCCAGCAAUGCCGCGUGAGUGAUGAAGGCAUUAGGGUUGUAAAGCUCUUUUACCCGGGAUGAUAAUGACAGUACCGGGAGAAUAAGCUCCGGCUAACUCCGUG